This 459-nucleotide ribosomal RNA is filed under the name uncultured bacterium. Its description in RNAcentral is "partial 16S ribosomal RNA". It matches the Rfam family "Bacterial small subunit ribosomal RNA", at positions 338 to 795 of the family's 1533-position model. The record is from RNAcentral.
CCUACGGGUGGCAGCAGUGAGGAAUAUUGGUCAAUGGUCGGGAGACUGAACCAGCCAAGCCGCGUGAGGGAUGAAGGUACAGAGUAUCGUAAACCUCUUUUGUCAAGGGACAAAAUCAGGCUCGAGAGCCUGACCGAGGGUACUUGAAGAAAAAGCAUCGGCUAACUCCGUGCCAGCAGCCGCGGUAAUACGGAGGAUGCGAGCGUUAUCCGGAUUUAUUGGGUUUAAAGGGUGCGUAGGCGGACUGUUAAGUCAGCGGUAAAAGCCCGGGGCUCAACCCCGGCGAGCCGUUGAAACUGGCUGUCUUGAGAUGUCGAGAGGUAUGCGGAAUGCGCAGUGUAGCGGUGAAAUGCUUAGAUAUUGCGCAGAACUCCGAUUGCGAAGGCAGCAUACCGGCGGCGAUCUGACGCUGAGGCACGAAAGCGUGGGUAUCGAACAGGAUUAGAUACCCGGGUAGUC